AAGCCAAGUUGGACAUUUAUCAUGAAUGCUAAAGAGGUUUCCUUCCUCUUCCUCGUACUUCCCCAGUUAUCAUAGCCUGAUACACUCCAUGCACUCAUGGGUCACAUCACUAAAUCAUGGCCAUGAGUCAUAUUUAGAGCAGGGCUUCAUCUACCCUUGCAGGUUCCAGAGUCUCCACUUCUAUUUCUUUCCCAUGUGCAAAAACCUUCCUUUGGGGUCUGACAGUCUCCUCAGUUGAGCAGGGAGUCAAGGGAGUUUAUGUUUGUGAAGAAACAAAAAUUAGUAACAGGCUACAGAUUAAUUUAAUAAUCUAGAAACAGAUGCCCAUGAGGAUGUGUACUAUAGUAGAGGAAACAGCAACUUCUAUGAUGCCUGUCUUUCUCCCAGGAAAAAUCACCUCUGUCUUGCUUCUGUACAGCUUUGCCAGCUUGUUUUAAGAUGAAAAUUGAGAGGAUGGAGGCAGAGAGACACAGAGAUGGAGAGAGAUGGAAGGAAAGAGUGCUGCUGCUAUCGGAGCCUUCUCUGCAUUUCCCCUUCUUCGAGAGAUUAUCCUUGCAGAGCCCUGCAGGAUCCUGGGGACUAGGGACAGGAAGGGACUCUGAAACUCUGCCUGAAAUAGAAAACAGCACAAGAGGCUGCUAUUCCACAAAGUCCCAGGAAGAGUGGGAAAAAGAGAGGAAAAAAAACAUUAAUGUAGGAAGUAAAUCUGCUCAGCGUUUUAUCCCAACAUCCUGUCCUCCUGCUGCUUUUUAUAUGACCUUUUGCACUGCACAGAAUUCAUUACUAUUGUAAAAAACACGGUUUUGUUUCUUAGAAAAUUUCAAGAAAUGUGUGAUCUGUUUUAAAGUAGACAGGAUUCACAAGUGGCAAAAAUAUGUGUUCUUCCAAAUCCUUUUCCUUCAUUAUCAGCUCCAGAAGUUUGCUAAUUAGACCCACUAAACAAAAACACCUCAGCAAUAACACAGUGCAGAAGGAACGGAGAAAACUUCAUAAUUGCAAUUUUAUUUAUUAUUUCACUGCAGGACAGCACAGGAACCUUAACCAGGUCAAGACUUCAUUGUGUCAGGUGCUGUACACACAAAAAAAUAGCAGUUCCUGCUCCAGGAAACGUGAAAUUUUUGCAUGUAUUUAUAGCCAAGCUUGUGGCCCCAUGGUAACUCAUUUAGUGAUUACCUCCACAAAUGCUAGUGAAGGCACCCAGAAACAUAUUUUGCAGGGUACAAACAUCUGUGGUUUCCCUGAGGCUGAAGCCCAGUGUACUUUCCCUGCCACAGAAGGGUAAUAGGGCCUUAGAGUAAAUGGAGUGGAAUAAGGACCAAAACACUUUGUGUUCUUUAAAUGAAAGGCACUUUAUACACACACGUAUGUUUACUGAAAGGCCUUUCAAAGAGGCAUAAUUAUGCAGGCAUCUCUGUGUAAUUCGCCUGGGUCAAUGCUAAUGUUGGAAAGUACUUAUUCUGUGGGUCAGACGAAUUACUGCAGUGCUCAGCCCCUGGCCUAUGUGUAUGUAAUAAAUCACUCUGCAGAAGAACUCGACUAACCUGUAUCUGUCUUAGCUUUUUUAAUUGCAGACCACAAACACUGAUAGAACCUAAAAUGUUUGCUCAGUCUAGACUGAGUGGGGAAAUGGAAGCUCACGCUGCGUCUUCUCUUCAGGGAUUACCUUCCGCUCUUUCCAGGGAGAUGCAAAGUCUAUGCAUGACACCAGAAAUACCUAAUUGCAUACAAAAGCAACAAAUGCUAAUUGUCCCAAAUGCUUCUUUAAAAAUAAUUUAGGAAUAAAAUAGUCAGGUCUCUGCAUGUGCUUUUAGGCCCACAGGGAUUUGGAAGUCUGAAAAGUGCCAGGCUGACUGCCAGCCCACAGGUUGAAGCAGCAGGUGGGACAGCACUGCAGCCUCUCCUGUCUCUUCCUACAGAGGACAUGAUCCUCUGCUGGAUGAAUUGGGCCACAAAGCUGCAGAGGAUGCCAUUAGAGACAUGUCAAGCGGGGCCCAAUGGCGUGUUAGCCCCAGCAUCCCUUCUUGUGCCCUAGCUUCUGCCAGGACAGCCGUGCAGGAAAGGCCACCUGGUCAUGCAUCAAAUCUGCAGCAUGAAUCCUCUGGUGAGGAUCACGUUGCUGCUGCAAGGUCUCUUCCUGCAGACAGCCAAAUGCAGCAAGAGGAGGGAUGUCAACCCACUCCUCCAGAAGCAAGGUGUCUGGGACCUGGGGCAAGUGGGGCUGCUUGGCUGCUGCUUUCCCCUCUCUCCACUGAUGGCCGCUCCUCUGCUCCCCCAGCACUGGACAUCUCCAUGUCACCGUGACAGUGAGACCCUUCCCACCUCCGUAGGAAAGCUGAGUUUCCCAUUUUGAUGGCACUGCAUUAAAAAUGGCAGCCAAGGGAAUCAGAAGCAUCCCAUAGGAGGUGACAGGAAGCCACUGCCUGCCAGCGUGCAGGAACCUGCAGGGAACACCAAGGCAGGAGGUCCAGCAGAGAGGAUCCCCCAGGGGCUCCCUCCCAGCUCCAGGCCUUCACCAUGAUCCUUCUUCCACCGCCAUCUUGUUCAGAGGUAGUGAACUGCUGGGGUUUCGUGGUCUGAAAGCCUUGUUCAGCUUGGGGUGGUGGGAAGGGGAAUAUCAUGCCAAGUUUCAGCCUCACUCUGUUCAGUGAGCCCAAGAACACCAUUUGAGAGGUACGGUCUCCAUCUAGAGCCAUAGUGUGGGUCUACAGGCCACGGCCAGGAUGCUUAUCUCUCUGGUCCUUUUACUGCCUGCCCAUAGAUGGGGUGUUGUCACAGUCACCCUUUGUUGUGGAAAUCACAUCUUCCACUGAAAGCAGUCACUUUCUUGCUCUGAUGAGUGCAACAAAAUGUUACUCUGGCGUGACUAAAAGGUUCAGGAGCCAGAAGGCAAAUCAAAGCAACUCCAAAUGCCACUGCUUUUUUUUUUUUUUUUCUUUUUCUUCUUCUUUUUCCUAAGAAAUCUCCAGCCCAAGGAAUCCCAAGGAAGCCUUAUUCAUGGUUUCUACAAAAGUGAGGUGGGCCACACUGUGAGCCAUACAUGGGGUGCAGUGGCUUUCACCUUCCCUGAGGAGAAAUACAGCUGCUAGCUCUGCAUGCUGAGGCAGCAAGGCAGUGGGCAGAACCACGUGCAGUGGAAAGCUGGCUGCCCUGUUGGGACUGAUGGACGCUCAGAGCAAUGGGAACACUCAGGGCUUCACCUGGCUUCCAGCUUGGAAACGUGCAGCGGAAAUGGAAACACUCCUCUAGCCAACUGUCCCUUUUUUCCUGUGAGCCCCUCUGGGCUCCCUGAAGACUUUUCUAAGAGUCCUCAAAGCGAUUGUUUAAGGGCAGUGCCAGGAACAGUGGAAAAUCCUCCAGAUGGCAGAGCUCCACCCAGAACAGGAGCACUCCAUCGGUGUCCUCCCAGCCCUGCUGCCACUGCUGGUGCCAGCGCCGUCAGUUACCACAGGGGCCCCUAACGCUGCAGUGGAACUGGAAGCCAAAGACAGGAAUUCCUGACUUGGCUGACCUGAAUCCAAAUAUCAGAGAUUAAGCAUGAAAAUAAAUAAAUGAAUAAAUAAAUAAAUAAGCAGUUAACUCUUUUCAAC
Gallus gallus (chicken) is the source of this 3587-nucleotide long non-coding RNA. RefSeq lists it as uncharacterized. The transcript has 3 exons. The record is from RefSeq and is a predicted model, not a curated record. NCBI's taxonomy places the organism in Eukaryota, Metazoa, Chordata, Aves, Galliformes, Phasianidae.